Molecule: long non-coding RNA, 305 nt
Filed under: Carica papaya (papaya)
Lineage: Eukaryota; Viridiplantae; Streptophyta; Magnoliopsida; Brassicales; Caricaceae
Description: long non-coding RNA (CPAP_LNC015996)
Source: RNAcentral
AGUUCGAAAUUGAGAUUUAAUCUAAGUCAUUACGUGAUAAUUGAAGCAACCUACUUAACAACAAACUAUGUCGUUCAGGAAGACAUUCUAUGAAAGCAGUAAUUAUGUUUGGUUUAUUCACAAGAAACAUACAAACUCCUAUUUCUUCAUGUGGAUCAAGACCCAAACGAGCAAUCUCUUCAUACAGUUGGCUUUCUAGAACACGAGCUUGUGUAUUUGUUGUAAUUUUUUCGAUUGUUUUUGCAACUAGUCCAACUUACUGAGCCAGAUAAUCUUCCUAUGGGAUAGUAGGCAAAUAUUUCGAU